This 83-nucleotide transfer RNA is filed under the name Thermodesulfitimonas autotrophica. It matches the Rfam family "tRNA". Rfam says of the family: Transfer RNA (tRNA) molecules are approximately 80 nucleotides in length. The record is from Rfam by way of RNAcentral. Lineage: Bacteria; Bacillati; Bacillota; Clostridia; Thermoanaerobacterales; Thermoanaerobacteraceae.
GCCGAAGUGGCGGAACUGGCAGACGCGCACGACUCAAAAUCGUGUGGGCACCGCCCGUGUGGGUUCGACUCCCACCUUCGGCA